GAUGAAGAACGUAGCGAAAUGCGAUAAGUAAUGUGAAAUGCAGAAUUCAGUGAAUCAUCGAAUCUUUGAACGCACAUUGCGCCCCUUGGUAUUCCGAGGGGCAUGCCUGUUCGAGCGUCAUUAUAACCCCUCAAGCUCAGCUUGGUGUUGGGGCCUGCUGCACUGGCAGCCCUUAAAAUCAGUGGCGGCGCCAUCUGGCUCUAAGCGUAGUAAUUCUUCUCGCUAUGGAGUCCUGGUGGAUGCUUGCCAUCAACCCCCAAUUUUUCUAUGGUUGACCUCGGAUCAGGUAGGGAUACCCGCUGAACUUAAGCAUAUCAAUAAGCGGAGGA
This 329-nucleotide unclassified non-coding RNA is filed under the name soil metagenome. Its description in RNAcentral is "partial contains 5.8S ribosomal RNA, internal transcribed spacer 2, and large subunit ribosomal RNA". The stretch from base 1 to 120 matches the Rfam family "5.8S ribosomal RNA", at positions 35 to 154 of the family's 154-position model. The record is from RNAcentral.